Molecule: microRNA, 22 nt
Filed under: Nicotiana tabacum (common tobacco)
Lineage: Eukaryota; Viridiplantae; Streptophyta; Magnoliopsida; Solanales; Solanaceae
Description: nta-miR6157
Source: miRBase by way of RNAcentral
UGGUAGACGUAGGAUUUGAAGA